UACGUAGGGUGCGAGCGUUGUCCGGAAUUAUUGGGCGUAAAGAGCUUGUAGGCGGUUUGUCGCGUCUGCUGUGAAAAUCCGGGGCUCAACCCUCGAAUGCCGGUGGAUACUGUCGGGCUAGAGUGCGGAAGAGGCGACUGGAAUUCCUGGUGUAGCGGUGAAAUGCGCAGAUAUCAGGAGGAACACCGGUGGCGAAGGCGGGUCUCUGGGCCGAUACUGACGCUGAGGAGCGAAAGCGUGGGGAGCGAACAGG
This 253-nucleotide ribosomal RNA is filed under the name uncultured bacterium. Its description in RNAcentral is "partial 16S ribosomal RNA". It matches the Rfam family "Bacterial small subunit ribosomal RNA", at positions 524 to 776 of the family's 1533-position model. The record is from RNAcentral.